Molecule: non-coding RNA, 73 nt
Organism: Stegodyphus mimosarum
Lineage: Eukaryota; Metazoa; Arthropoda; Arachnida; Araneae; Eresidae
Source: Rfam
GCCUUCGUGGUGUAGUGGUUAGCACGCUCGGCACGUAUUCGAAAGGUCCGUGGUUCGAGUCCCGGCGAGGGCA